CCAUGUCAAAAUUUCUCUUAUAAAGCACAUCACCAUUGAGGUAGAAGCUGCCUGACAAUCUCCUCAAAGUCUUCUUAUCUUUCACAGACACCCCGGGUGGGUAAGUCUGGUUCUGAAUGAAACACUUGAUAUCAUAAUACCAUGGUUUGUCAUCUUUUACUUCUUCUACUGCAAAUACAUGAGCUGGCCUGUCCAAGCGCAUCACGGUGAUAUUGGGGACUUCAUUCCACAAUUUAACCACAAUCAUUGAAGCAAGUGUAGAAAGAGCAUCUGC
RNAcentral lists this long non-coding RNA (274 nucleotides) under Lathyrus oleraceus (garden pea). RNAcentral describes it as "Pisum sativum (pea) long non-coding RNA (PSAT_LNC032105)". The record is from RNAcentral. Lineage: Eukaryota; Viridiplantae; Streptophyta; Magnoliopsida; Fabales; Fabaceae.